CAGGGAAUCUUGCACAAUGGGCGAAAGCCUGAUGCAGCGACGCCGCGUGGGGGAUGAAGGCCUUAGGGUCGUAAACCCCUUUCAGCAGGGACGAAAAUGACGGUACCUGCAGAAGAAGCCCCGGCCAACUACGUGCCAGCAGCCGCGGUAAGACGUAGGGGGCGAGCGUUGUCCGGAUUUAUUGGGCGUAAAGAGCUCGUAGGCGGUUGCGUAAGUCGGAUGUGAAAACUCAGGGCUCAACCCUGAGACGCCAUCCGAUACUGCGCUGACUUGAAUCCAGUAGGGGAGUGUGGAAUUCCUGGUGUAGCGGUGAAAUGCGCAGAUAUCAGGAGGAACACCCGUGGCGAAGGCAGCACUCUGGGCUGGUAUUGACGCUGAGGAGCGAAAGCAUGGGUAGCGAACAGGAUUAGAUACCCUAGUAGUCCCUGAGCGGGCUGGCAAGGCGCAU
This 448-nucleotide ribosomal RNA is filed under the name uncultured bacterium. RNAcentral's name for it is "bacterial SSU rRNA". It matches the Rfam family "Bacterial small subunit ribosomal RNA", at positions 355 to 825 of the family's 1533-position model. The record is from RNAcentral.